Molecule: ribosomal RNA, 570 nt
Filed under: uncultured bacterium
Lineage: Bacteria
Description: bacterial SSU rRNA
Rfam family: Bacterial small subunit ribosomal RNA
Source: RNAcentral
GACAACGAUGGAUAGGGGUUCUGAGAGGAAGGUCCCCCACAUUGGAACUGAGACACGGUCCAAACUCCUACGGGAGGCAGCAGUGAGGAAUAUUGGUCAAUGGACGAGAGUCUGAACCAGCCAAGUAGCGUGAAGGAUGACUGCCCUAUGGGUUGUAAACUUCUUUUAUAUGGGAAUAAAAUGUUCCACGUGUGGGAUUUUGUAUGUACCAUAUGAAUAAGGAUCGGCUAACUCCGUGCCAGCAGCCGCGGUAAUACGGAGGAUCCGAGCGUUAUCCGGAUUUAUUGGGUUUAAAGGGAGCGUAGGUGGAUUGUUAAGUCAGUUGUGAAAGUUUGCGGCUCAACCGUAAAAUUGCAGUUGAAACUGGCAGUCUUGAGUACAGUAGAGGUGGGCGGAAUUCGUGGUGUAGCGGUGAAAUGCUUAGAUAUCACGAAGAACUCCGAUUGCGAAGGCAGCUCACUGGACUGCAACUGACACUGAGGCUCGAAAGUGUGGGUAUCAAACAGGAUUAGAUACCCUGGUAGUCCACACAGUAAACGAUGAAUACUCGCUGUUUGCGAUAUACAGUAA